This 940-nucleotide long non-coding RNA is filed under the name Panax ginseng (ginseng). RNAcentral's name for it is "long non-coding RNA (PGIN_LNC018882)". The record is from RNAcentral. Lineage: Eukaryota; Viridiplantae; Streptophyta; Magnoliopsida; Apiales; Araliaceae.
UCAUAUACAACUAUUUAUAGAGAGAGAGCACUGAAAGUAAAAGCUACUACCCCACACUACUUUUUUUAUCCUUCACUCAAAUAUAACAAACUACCCCAUGUGCUCACAUGGUCACUCAAAUAUACUACCUACUAGAAUAUACUAAUUAUUCCUUUGCUGCCCAAAAUACCCUCUGCCUGACAUUCCCUCCUCACAAGCAUCCAUGUCCUCAUUGAUAUUGCUGAUUUUCUGCUUUCCAAUCUUGGUAGUUUUCACCACCUUUCAAGUGUCAAAAACAAAACUCGGGAACUUGUUUAGUUGAAUCUUUCCAUAGCAAUUCUUUGAAACUUCUGCCUUCUCAUAUUCCUUAGUAUCAAAAGUUAACACCAACAACUUCAUAUUUUAAUUUAGUGUAACUUUUCCAUUGCAAAAACUUGUCUCAGUAUUAUCUUUAGCAUGCCUUGAGUUCUUGAAUUUAUUUUCCUUCUAAUACAGCCACCAUUGGUACUUGUUGGUCUCUGGCUUACCAAUACCACUAGCAAGAUAGCUUAACCCCUUAUGAGUCCAGUAAGACAAAGGAACAUGGUGGAAUUUAACCCAAACUGGGGCUAAAGUACAAGACUCCGAAAGAAUUCUUUACAUUUUUGAAUUAUCAGAAGUUUAUUGGAAAUAUACCAUGGCCCUAACUAAUGCCAAAACAUUAUCCCUCUCAGCAGCAGAAGAAAAUUUGAAUACAUACCUUUGUCUUGAAGGAAGAUCUUUUGAAGUCCAUAUUUAUCCCACAUUUUGUGGACAAUAUCUGCUACCAGCUUAAAAGGCAGACGAGAAUGCAGGAACCCCCAAUAAAACAGAAAUUCGAUAAACAAUCCCCUGAUCCAGAAUCUCAACCGGAGGCUUGAUAGUAAUGGAACCCCUAUCCGAAUCGGGGGGAGGGAAAUAAGGCUUUUGCUCACCUUGAGCA